RNAcentral lists this ribosomal RNA (224 nucleotides) under uncultured bacterium. RNAcentral describes it as "partial 16S ribosomal RNA". It matches the Rfam family "Bacterial small subunit ribosomal RNA", at positions 28 to 253 of the family's 1533-position model. The record is from RNAcentral.
GACGAACGCUGGCGGCGUGCUUAACACAUGCAAGUCGAGCGGUAAGGCCCUUUCGGGGGUACACGAGCGGCGAACGGGUGAGUAACACGUGGGUGACCUGCCCUCAGCUCUGGGAUAAGCCCGGGAAACUGGGUCUAAUACCGGAUAUGACUUCAUGACGCAUGUUGUGGAGUGGAAAGCCUUGUGCGGCUGAGGAUGGGCCCGCGGCCUAUCAGCUCGUUGGG